CCAGCCUCGCUACAUUGAUCCUCCAUCCCUGUUUUGUUGUGUACACCUCAUUUGCUACUCGUUCUAGCAGCCUUGCUCCCAGCUCCAGCACUUUUCUUGACGGCUCCUUUAUCUGCAAUAUUGACCAAUCAAUCAACCAACGGCUCAUUAGUUUGAUUGUGCAGAAAGGAUCAUUUAUCCUUUUAUUUUCAAAAAUAAUCCCAUUCCUACUUUUCCAAAUCGCCCAAAAUAAAGCAGAUACCCCCACCAUCACCAUUUUCUUAUCAUCCCUGUUGAAUUUGCCUAUCCAUGUCCCAAAACAAUCACUAACAGUCAGUGGAGUGGUUUUGAGCCCACCCACACAUUUAACCAGAGCCCAAAGCAGUGAGGCUACUGAGCAAGUAAAAAACAAAUGGUCAAUUGAUUCCUCCUUUCCACAGAAAACACAGUCUUUCCCCCCUCUCCAUCCUUUUUUUAGCAAAACAUCCCUAGUUAAAAUGCUCUUAUUAUUAACCAACCACAUAAAAACCUUGAUUUUCACAGGCACUUUGGUCUUCCACAAGUAUUUUUGUGGAAAUUUUAGACCUAGUGUAAUUAUUUUUCUGUAUAGAGAUCCCACAGAGAAUUUAUGAUCUGCAAUCAAGGUCCAGAUCACUUUAUCUCUCCCUCCUUGCAUAGUUAUUUCUUCACAUCUACUUUUUAAGCUAUUCCACAAAUCCAGAGUUUCGCCAUGCAAAGUUCUUCUAAAUGUGAAACCAUGCCAUCCUUUUUGUAUGGCUUCAUUUACUGUUAUAUUAUGGUCAAAACAUAUAUCAUAUAAUCUAGGAUAAGCUUCUCUCAGAGGUUUAUCAUCUACCCAUACAUCUUCCCAGAACCUGGUAUUUUUUCCAUCACCUAAUUCUUUCCUAACAAAUUUAUAAAAAAAUCUCUUUGAUAGUCAUAAGACUAGACCAGAAUUGUGAAUCUCCAGGUAUUUUAACCAUUAGAGCUAGGCAUUGUCCCUUUAUAUAUUUUUCUCCAAGGAUAUCUUGCCACAACCCCUCUUCUGUUUCCAUUUUCCAAAACCAUUUAGCAAGAAGUGCAAUAUUCAUCACCUCCAGAUUAAGGAUCCCCAAACCUCCUACAUCUUUUGGCAAACAACAUGUUUCCCAUUUCACUAAAUGAUAUUUUUUAAUAUUCUCAUCCUCUUGCCACACCAGUCUGGCCCUGAAAAAAUCUGCUUUCUUGAUGAUCCCUUUAGGUAUAGAAAAAAAGGACAUCAUAAACAGUGGGAUGUUAGUUAGACAGGCUUGCACCAAGGUAAUUCUACCAGCAAUGGACCCCAGUAAUUUCCCUUGCCAGCAGCCACAUCUUUUUUCAAUCUUGUUAGUCACACAAUUCCAGUGAAUGUUUCUAAUUAUGUUUUCAUCCACCGGCAUCCCCAAGUAUUUGAUGGGUAAUUCACCCAUUUUACAUGUCAAAAUUUCCUGAUAUAUUGACUGUUUCUCUUUGGCUUUUCCAAAGAGCAUCAAUUCACACUUAUGGAAGUUUAUUUUGAGACCUGACAUUUGUUCAAAGGCUCCUAAUAUGAAUUUAAGAUUUCUAACACUUUCUAUCCCAUCUCUAAUAUCCCUUUGUUCUCCCCAUUUCUCAAAACCCCUUUCACUACAUCAUGUUUUAAUGCAUUACUCAUUAAGAUGGCCAAGGCAUCAGCAGCCAGGUCAAAAAGCAGUGGUGACAUAGCAUCACCCUGUCUCAGCCCUUUGAAAGUUUUAAAAUAUGGCCCAAUAUCAUCAUUCACCCUAACCCCUACAUGUCCUCCUCUCAUAGUCUCCAUCACCCAGUCAUACCAUUUAUCUGGAAAACCUUUCAGGUUAAGCAUUUGUAUUACAAAAGGCCAUUUGAUUUUAUCAUAUGCUUUCUCAAAGUCCACUUUGAAAAUCAAAGCAUCUUCCUUUUCUCUGUGGAAAGUAUUCAGAGCCUCAUGGAGGAUAACCACCCCCUCCAUAAUGUAUCUCCCCUUGAUAAAAGCAGUUUGGUUUCUGGAUAUCACAGGGGACACACAUCUAGCUAAUCUAUUCAUUAGUACUUUAGUAAUGAUCUUAAAGCUCACAUUCAACAGGCAAAUGGGCCUGAAUUUAUGUAUUUGUUUGGCAUCAUUUGUCUUUGGGACAAGAGUUAUGAUGCCAUAAUUAAGUCUGGCAAUAUUAAUUUUUCCUUUAGCAAAACUUUCAACCAAAGCUUUUAUCUCCCAUUUGACCAGAUCCCAAAAAUCUUGAUAGAAAUCCACAGGAAAUCCAUCAGGUCCAGGACUUUUAUUUCUUUUCAUCCCAAACACUACUUUAUGAAUUUCAUCCAGGGAGAAAGGGGCAAAAAGCUCCUCCCUAUCCUGGGAGCUGAUCUAUUCCAUUUCCACCCCUUUCAAAGAGAUUUGUGUCUCUUCAGGGUGACCAAACAAGGUUUUGUAGAAAUUGGUUAUGUAUUCCAUCAAUCUACCUUCCCCCUCUAUAGUCCCUUCAUCUUGUUCCAAAGAGAUGAUUCUGUUUUUUCUUCUUCUCCCAUUUACUUUUGCAUGUUAGUAUCUAGUGUUUCCAUCCCCAUCUGUGAUCUCUCUAUCUUUAUACCUUUGCAACCACUUCAUCUCCUCUUUUAGCAUCACUCUUUUGAGUUGUGCUCUAAGCUCUUUCUGCUCAGCUCUGUCAGCAGCAGUUAGCCCUAUUCUCUCAGCUUUCUUGUCUAUCUCAUCCAAUACCCUAAUAAUAUUCAUUUUAAUUUUUUUAUACCAUGCAUCCAUAUUCUUAUUCCAUCCCUUAGUUUUUCUUCUCAGGUUUCUCAUUUUAAGUUGCCAUCUUUCCAGGAUAUCUCCUUUAUAUUUCUCAUUCCAUGUUUUGUAGAUCAGUUCUCUAAAUCCCUCUCUCAAUGUCCAAGCAUUCUUAUAGCUAAAGAUAUAUUUAUGUGUUUGUGUUUCCCCUGUAUCUAGGUACAGGGGAGUGUGAUCAGAUACUUCUCUAGCAAAAGCUUGCAAUAUAGUUAGGAUAUUUUUCCUCCCAAGCAGGGCACGUCAACACCCUAUCCAACUUUUCAUAGGUGGGACUUUCCUGGUUAUUAGCCCAGGUGUAUAGUCUCCCAUUUAAUGGCAAUUCCCUAAGCCCUGCUUGCUCAAUUAUAGCAUUAAACAUAAAGGACCACUGAUCACUCUGCAUGGGUUUAUUCUUUUCUUUUUCAUUUCUAAUAAUAUUGAAAUCCCCCCAACCAAGCAUGGCAGAGGAUUGUCAUGGUAUAAUCGAGCUAACUCAGCUAAGAAGCUGGCUUUUCCUUCCUUUUGAGCAUCCCCAUAUACAAUAAUCAGAUUCCAGUGUAAUUUGGCAUUUUUAUCAUAAACUAGAACCCUCAGAAAAUAAUGUCCCUUCUCAAUACAUUCCACAUCAAAUAAAUCUUUGUUAAUCCCCACUAAAAUCCCAGAUAUUCCCCUAGGGGGGUUCCAACACCAUUGGUACUUUUUCCCUCCACACAUAUUAUGUAGCUCAUUCUUAGUAAAUUCUUUUUUGAUUGUUUCAGAAAUCCCUAUGAAAUCCAGUCUCUGAUCUAUGAUCAUUUCCCUGAUGUAUCUUUUCUUGUGAUCUUGUCCUAUACCUCUAACAUUCCAAAAAAAACCUCUCAUUUCUCCACCUUAUUGAUUUUUUCUAUCCUUUUAUGUAUUAAAAACCUGGGCCUAACUAAAAAAACACACCAAUCCCCCUCAAACUAUCUCUAUUUUUGUCUAUAUUUGAAUCAGAUAAGAGACUAAUUAGUCUUCUUUCCUUUUCUUCUUCUUCUCAACACCCCGAUCCCAAUUGUCUGCUUCACACAGUCCAAAGCUGGUGAGCUUGGUUUCCCUUUUUUUCUGAGAACAUUCCUCUUAGUUUUUUGAAUUCCUUUUCUUCAAUAUCAGCAUCUGAAUGUUCCAAGUCAGAGCAUAUCUCAUCAACAUCCACAUCUCCAGUAUUAAUGUACUGGGAUGUCAACUAUUUCCUCCUCUCUCUUAUCUAUUCUUUUUUUCUCCCCAUCAUUUUUUGUUUUGAUAUUUUGAAAAUACAUGUCCCUUCUAGCCUCCUCCAAUUUUUUAAUAAUGUCUAGGUUUUUAUCAAUCAUAUAAAUAGAGCAUCCUAAAUCAAUCCCAACCAUAGAACUAAUCUGCAACAAAGAAGCAUCAGCAAAUUCUGUAUCCAGAUUCUUACCAUAAUUGUCUCUUUCUGCUGCUCUGAUUUUGGCCAUUUCUUCCACCCUCUGAUCUUCUUUUCCUCUGUUCCUGAGACUUCUUUUUAAUUCCACUUCUUUUUCUUCUCCAUCCUUCUCUAGAACCCCUGCCCCAUGUAUGUCAGCCAUUUUCUCACCCAGUGUACCAACAGAUUCCUGGCUAGCAUUAU
Molecule: long non-coding RNA, 4364 nt
Filed under: Triticum aestivum (bread wheat)
Lineage: Eukaryota; Viridiplantae; Streptophyta; Magnoliopsida; Poales; Poaceae
Description: long non-coding RNA (TAES_LNC018435)
Source: RNAcentral